AGAGUUUGAUCCUGGCUCAGAACGAACGCUGGCGGCAGGCCUAACACAUGCAAGUCGAGCGCUGUAGCAAUACAGAGCGGCAGACGGGUGAGUAACGCGUGGGAAUUUACCUAGUGGUGCGGAAUAGCCCAGGGAAACUUGGGGUAAUACCGCAUAAGCCCGAGAGGGGAAAGAUUCAUCGCCACUAGAUGAGCCCGCGUUGGAUUAGCUAGUUGGUGGGGUAACGGCCCACCAAGGCGACGAUCCAUAGCUGGUCUGAGAGGAUGAUCAGCCACACUGGGACUGAGACACGGCCCAGACUCCUACGGGAGGCAGCAGUGGGGAAUAUUGGACAAUGGGCGCAAGCCUGAUCCAGCCAUGCCGCGUGAGUGACGAAGGUCUUCGGAUUGUAAAGCUCUUUUGGCGGGGACGAAGAAUGUGACGGUACCCGAAGAAUAAGCCCCGGCUAACUACGUGCCAGCCGCCGCGGUAAUAC
RNAcentral lists this ribosomal RNA (475 nucleotides) under uncultured bacterium. Its description in RNAcentral is "bacterial SSU rRNA". It matches the Rfam family "Bacterial small subunit ribosomal RNA", at positions 8 to 526 of the family's 1533-position model. The record is from RNAcentral.